AUUGAACGCUGGCGGCAGGCCUAACACAUGCAAGUCGAACGGUAGCACAGAGAGCUUGCUCUCGGGUGACGAGUGGCGGACGGGUGAGUAAUGUCUGGGAAACUGCCCGAUGGAGGGGGAUAACUACUGGAAACGGUAGCUAAUACCGCAUAACGUCGCAAGACCAAAGUGGGGGACCUUCGGGCCUCACACCAUCGGAUGUGCCCAGAUGGGAUUAGCUAGUAGGUGGGGUAAUGGCUCACCUAGGCGACGAUCCCUAGCUGGUCUGAGAGGAUGACCAGCCACACUGGAACUGAGACACGGUCCAGACUCCUACGGGAGGCAGCAGUGGGGAAUAUUGCACAAUGGGCGCAAGCCUGAUGCAGCCAUGCCGCGUGUAUGAAGAAGGCCUUCGGGUUGUAAAGUACUUUCAGCGGGGAGGAAGGCGGUGAAGUUAAUAACUUCACCGAUUGACGUUACCCGCGGAAGAAGCACCGGCUAACUCCGUGCCAGCAGCCGCCGUAA
This 504-nucleotide ribosomal RNA is filed under the name uncultured bacterium. RNAcentral's name for it is "partial 16S ribosomal RNA". It matches the Rfam family "Bacterial small subunit ribosomal RNA", at positions 30 to 523 of the family's 1533-position model. The record is from RNAcentral.